Ailuropoda melanoleuca (giant panda) is the source of this 107-nucleotide small nuclear RNA. NCBI's taxonomy places the organism in Eukaryota, Metazoa, Chordata, Mammalia, Carnivora, Ursidae. The record is from Ensembl.
GUGCUCACUUCGGCAGCACAUAUACUAAAAUUGGAAGGAUACAGAGAAGAUCAGCAUGGCCCCUGAGCAAGGACGACAUUCAAAUUCAUGAAGUGUUCCAUAUUUUA